CUCAUGGUGCAGCACGUCACCGGCGACCAGGCCGAGCCCGGCGCGGCAGACGGCGCCCUCCUGCACGCGUCGCCGUACGACGCGUACUCCGCCGCCCUGCUCCUGGACUGCCACCCUUUCGACGGCGCGUUCGAGGAAUCGCUGAGGCUGCCGUCCGAUGUCGACGCGGCGGCGCUCCAUCGCCACCACCAACAGCAGCAACAGCCGUGCUUCCCGACGCUGGACUCGUGGGGCGUCAUGUGCGAGAGCAGCCAGUUGAUCUAGCCAGGAAACAACAUCUUGAUAGAAGAAUCGGAGAUUGCCCAUGCUGGAAUCGUCGAAUCGGAACGCUGCAGACGACACAAGAACCUAAGCAGAUAGUUCACCAGGACGCAGCACAGACUCAACACCACUCAUUAUCUCAGUUCUCUGACAAGACUAGCUAGGACUAAAGUAAGCAUAGCACCACGAAUUAGGGACUGUUUGGAUGGUUACCAAAGUGUACCUUGUCAAUUUGGGUCACGAGACUCAUGACGCCUUUGUUUGGAUGAAGUCUUCUUUACCAAAACCUCAACCAAUAUUUUGGCAACUGACAUCUUGAUAGGGAAAUCUUAGACACGAAACAAACAGACCUUAGAGCAUCUUACAAGUAAAACCAUGCAAUCUAACGACCAUGGACGCGUCUCGGCACGUCCGCUGACACUGACCGAACACGCCUUAUGCGUUGGCUUUCACAUCUGUCUCCCUUAUAUUCAAAACCUCAAAAC
RNAcentral lists this long non-coding RNA (746 nucleotides) under Hordeum vulgare. RNAcentral describes it as "long non-coding RNA (HVUL_LNC021745)". Lineage: Eukaryota; Viridiplantae; Streptophyta; Magnoliopsida; Poales; Poaceae. The record is from RNAcentral.